UGGAAAGUCAGUCAUGAUAUACAGGGUCA
This 29-nucleotide non-coding RNA is filed under the name Homo sapiens (human). The record is from RNAcentral. Lineage: Eukaryota; Metazoa; Chordata; Mammalia; Primates; Hominidae.